Long non-coding RNA from Sapajus apella (tufted capuchin), 2721 nucleotides. RefSeq lists it as uncharacterized. Lineage: Eukaryota; Metazoa; Chordata; Mammalia; Primates; Cebidae. The record is from RefSeq and is a predicted model, not a curated record. The transcript is spliced from 4 exons.
AGUAUAAUAAUAAAAAAAAGUGAUUACUUUGGGGGAAAACAUUCCAGAUCCUAAAGUGCUGAAGCUGAGGUGGUUCUGAGACACAUGUUAGUAGGUAACUAAAUCAGAAUGAAAACAUUUAUGAAGAUGACUGUCAUGUUGAAGCAAUUGAGGUGCUGAAAUUCCUUGGUAUCAGGGUCACUUGUGGAGUCAGGGCUCAGGGAUGCUGUGGAUGAAAUAAUGAACGAAAGAAUUUAGAAAUAAGUUUUUGCAUCCAUCCUUAGAAUAACACCCCCUCCUCAUUCUCACACAUUCCCAAGCCAUGGGGUAGGAUUACCGUGACAAAAUGAGUUCCUAGCAAACUCUUUAAAGACUAGAGGAAGGAAAUCUGAAAUAUCUUCUGCCUUCUAUUUAUCAGUUUGGAAAGCUUACAUUUAAAGUAUCUGACUGUAAUGCAGAUUUUAAAUAUAUAAAGUAAAACAGCAGUGUGAGACUCGAGUGCAUAAAGGCAGGACCGAAUUUCAUGAAAAUCAAUUGGGAUGCCUUACUAAGAGCAUAUUGUCUUAACAAUGGAAAGGUCUAAAUUCCAAGCUUCCUUUUCCCAUUUUCUUGUCCUAUGUCCAAAUUAAAGAAAAUCACUUGAUUUUCCUGGGCUGCUUCUUCAUGUGUAACAUGAAGCAUUUGGAAAAGUGUUAAAGAGCCCAUGAGCCUAUGAAUUAUGCGUUGGGUAUUUAUCAGACUUGGAUUAGUGUGUUAUAAGAAACCAACAUGUUUAGGCCGGGUUGAUAGUCUAAAUAUUUACCAACCCUAUAGUAUAAGUACUCACCAAUCAAAAUGGAGGCUUGCUGUAAACAGCCAGUAGCUCUGCCCCUGUGCAUGUUAGGUAAAUAUCAACUACACUUUUGGGAAUGGAACCCUGGAAUCAAAUUGUUGAAGGAGAAAAACCUUAGGAUUCACCAGUCCAUCUUCCUGAUUUUACACACUGUUUCAUCCUCUGUUAAAUAAGAACAUUGUGAUAUUAAAAAAUUGCAGCAAAAGUAUGACACAAAUGCAUGAAGGCUUAGAUACAUGAGUGGAUAUCCCAAUAAAUGUGGUAGAUUAAUAUAAUAAUGGCAUUAAUGAAUCACAGCUCCUUGUAUCUGCACCCUCUAUUAAUCCUCUCUCACGUUAACUCUGGGCUCAGCCAUGUGAGCCCACAUGGUUUUGGUGGUAAUGGGACAUUAGCAAAUGUGACACAAGCAGAGGCUCAACAAAUGCUUGCUCAUUAGUGUUUACCCUAUCUUUUGUUACUUUGGAUCAUAGCCACUAUUAGGAGAAGACUUCUGGCCUCCUGGUGACAUAUGGCCCAACUGACAGCCAGCACCACCCACCAGACUUGUGAGUGAGAGGAUUAGACUAACAAACACCAUUUGAGCUGACAGAUGACUAUGGCAACAUGAGUGACCCCAGGUGACAUCAGAAAAGAUACUAACCAGCUGAGCUCAGCCCAAACUGCUGACCCACAGAAUCAGAGCAAAUUAUUUAGUGGUUACUUAAGCCACUAAAUAUUGGGGUUUGAUUCACCACAACAGAUACUUGACACAAAAAGAGAAGGAUCUAUAAGUUGGGGAGGGACACGCUGAAGGGGAAGUUGAUGUGAGGAAAGAUGGUGGUGAUCUCUUCCACCAUUUUCCUAAUUGAAGUUGGGAUCAAGGAUUUCUGUCUAGUUACUAUGAACAGGUCUCUUGCUUCCCAGAUUGACCAGGGAGCUCCUUCUUAUUCAUCUUUCUGUUCAAGCACACUUAGUUUCAGGAAAAACUCACUGGUUGAGUCCUAAUCACUCUCAGCAAAGAAAUACAGGUGGAAUUUCCUGCUUCUAUUUCCCUUUCAGAAUGUGACAAGGAACAGCUGUUCUGGUCUUUUCUUGUUGAUUCAGCAGCAAAAAUAUUCAUGGAAUACUAUGAGAAUAAACAGAGUUCUUGGGAAAAGAAAUGAAGAAGCUGAUUCUAAUGUUUGCACACAAAUGCAAAAGGCCUGGAAUAAUCAAGUAUACGUUCAAAUCUAGAUGAAUUCAGUGUGAAGGACAGUGGAAAAGGAGACGGUGAAUUGAAUGACAGCCAUUUGGAUAUCAGCAGAGAGAGCUUCAAGAAAACAUUCUAUCAAAUGAUUGUAAAAUAAGGGUUUUAUUUCAGAUUACUCAGGAUAAAAGAUAUUCAAGGAUCCUGAAAAAUUAAACCAGGAAUUUCAAACCAGCAAACAUUUUUCAUCCCAUCAUGAAAGUAGGAACAGGACUGAACUUUCUUCAAGCACCCUUUACACUCACAUUUCCCAGAUGAAAAAUACAAAUUUCCAACCGGAACACUCAGAACUCAAUUGAUGUUAUUUUCAAGUCUGUGCCUCCCAAGUGAAGGGCUGCCAAGUGUCUGUGACAGAGUUCAGAACUGCAGGCCAGCAGUGCCACUUCCGCCUUCUUGGACAGAAUGAUAAAUUAAAUCAUCCUUCAGUGGACAGACCACCUUCACAUACUUCAGAAAUAGCCACUUCAUUCUAAAAUGCUGCAAUUCAUAUAGAUGGUCAUUUCUGUCAAGUGUUUACAAGCCAGGUUACAUGCAUGAGCCUCUUAGUUUUGAUAUACAUUUUCUUAAAUCAGGUUGACAAUCCAUGACACAGCACAGGACGAUUUUAUAGAAUCUAGGAUAUUUUACCAAAAAGUCUUAGAAGUGGUCUUUAUUGCCAUGAAUAUAAUAAAUGAGCAUGUAUUUU